CCUACGGGAUGCUGCAGUGGGGGAUAUUGCACAAUGGGGGAAACCCUGAUGCAGCGACGCCGCGUGGGUGAAGAAGCGCCUCGGCGCGUAAAGCCCUGUCAGCAGGGAAGAAAAUGACGGUAACUGAAGAAGAAGCCCCGGCGAACUACGUGCCAGCAGCCGCGGUAAUACGUAGGGGGCAAGCGUUAUCCGGAUUUACGGGGUGUAAAGGGGGCGCAGAUGGCGAUGCAAGCCAGGAGUGAAAGCCCGGGGCCCAACCCCGGGACUGAUCUUGGAACUGCGUGGCUAGAGUGCAGGAGGGGCAGGCGGAAUUCCUGGUGUAGCGGUGAAAUGCGUAGAUAUCAGGAGGAACACCGGUGGCGAAGGCGGCCUGCUGGACUGCAACUGACGUUGAGGCCCGAAAGCGUGGGGAGCAAACAGGAUUAGAUACCCCUGUAGUC
RNAcentral lists this ribosomal RNA (440 nucleotides) under uncultured bacterium. Its description in RNAcentral is "partial 16S ribosomal RNA". It matches the Rfam family "Bacterial small subunit ribosomal RNA", at positions 338 to 795 of the family's 1533-position model. The record is from RNAcentral.